RNAcentral lists this ribosomal RNA (429 nucleotides) under Chloroflexota bacterium. RNAcentral's name for it is "Chloroflexi bacterium partial 16S ribosomal RNA". It matches the Rfam family "Bacterial small subunit ribosomal RNA", at positions 355 to 776 of the family's 1533-position model. Lineage: Bacteria; Bacillati; Chloroflexota. RNAcentral also lists the same sequence under 1 other name. The record is from RNAcentral.
UAGGGAAUCUUCGGCAAUGGACGAAAGUCUGACCGAGCAACGCCGCGUGAGUGAAGAAGGUUUUCGGAUCGUAAAACUCUGUUGUUAGAGAAGAACAAGGACGUUAGUAACUGAACGUCCCCUGACGGUAUCUAACCAGAAAGCCACGGCUAACUACGUGCCAGCAGCCGCGGUAAUACGUAGGUGGCAAGCGUUGUCCGGAUUUAUUGGGCGUAAAGCGAGCGCAGGCGGUUUCUUAAGGCUGAUGUGAAAGCCCCCGGCUCAACCGGGGAGGGUCAUUGGAAACUGGGAGACUUGAGUGCAGAAGAGGAGAGUGGAAUUCCAUGUGUAGCGGUGAAAUGCGUAGAUAUAUGGAGGAACACCAGUGGCGAAGGCGGCUCUCUGGUCUGUAACUGACGCUGAGGCUCGAAAGCGUGGGGAGCAAACAGG